AUGAGGAAAGUCCGGGCUCCGCAGGGCAGGAUGCCGGAUAACGUCCGGCGUAGGUAACUAUAGGGAAAGUGCAACAGAAACAUUCCGCCGAAACGGAUAAUGCCGUGGUAAGGUUGAAAUGGUGAGGUAAGAGCUCACCGGCGGCAUGGAGACAUGCCGGCCGUGUAAACCCCAUCCGGAGCAAGACCAAAGAGGGGCCAAAAGGCAGUUGCUCGCUGCCUCCCGGGAGGUAGGUCGCUGGAGCUUGUCAGCAAUGGCAAGUCGAGAUAGAUGAUUGUCAAAUACAGAACCCGGCUUACAGCUCUGCCCAAUUU
This 314-nucleotide RNase P RNA is filed under the name Bacillota bacterium. Its description in RNAcentral is "partial RNase P RNA component class A". It matches the Rfam family "Bacterial RNase P class A", at positions 41 to 367 of the family's 367-position model. Rfam says of the family: Ribonuclease P (RNase P) is a ubiquitous endoribonuclease, found in archaea, bacteria and eukarya as well as chloroplasts and mitochondria. Its best characterised activity is the generation of mature 5'-ends of tRNAs by cleaving the 5'-leader elements of precursor-tRNAs. The record is from RNAcentral. Lineage: Bacteria; Bacillati; Bacillota.